UAACAACCCUAUACCAAACUCCCAAUUUGUCACUAUCUGACUUCCUUCCUGGGUGGCUGCCUUUUUCCUUUUCUUGCUUUUCUCCUUUCUACACUUUCUCCGGGAUAAACAACCUAUUACUUCAAUCACCUAACAUUCGUAUCUCCUGCUUCUCAUAAUGUGUGUCUAAGUCUGUCUUUAUGUGUGUCUCCAGCAACUAUGAAGGAAGAAAAAAUUCUACUCCAAAGACCUGGCAAAUUCCCAUAACAAGAAUCCAGGCACGGACAGAAUUCAGAGACAGAAAAGAUGAAAGUGGGAGACUGAAAAGCAGAGAAAAAAUGUCUUUUGGAAAUCUAAUGGAAAACUUCCAGAAGUAAAGGAAUUAGGUAUAGUAAUAUGAUUGACGACUGAAACUCAAGAGGCUCA
This 405-nucleotide long non-coding RNA is filed under the name Equus caballus (horse). RNAcentral describes it as "lncRNA (ENSECAG00000053985.1)". Lineage: Eukaryota; Metazoa; Chordata; Mammalia; Perissodactyla; Equidae. The record is from RNAcentral.